Molecule: non-coding RNA, 28 nt
Filed under: Mus musculus (house mouse)
Lineage: Eukaryota; Metazoa; Chordata; Mammalia; Rodentia; Muridae
Source: RNAcentral
UGCCACGUUAGCUUAUCGUUAGCUUAUC